Gigantopelta aegis is the source of this 3593-nucleotide RNA transcript. It is a transcript of the gene named tripartite motif-containing protein 45-like, with no coding region annotated. The transcript has 4 exons. NCBI's taxonomy places the organism in Eukaryota, Metazoa, Mollusca, Gastropoda, Neomphalida, Peltospiridae. The record is from RefSeq and is a predicted model, not a curated record.
CUCCAGAUGCGAUUGUAGAUUCGGGGGAACAGGAAGGGUAAUCGAGCAACAAGACUCUCUACCUCGUGCAGUUUGUGUGCUGGUGGUCAAAGCUUGUUUGUUCAGAGACGCAAUACAGUUUUCGUAUUUGUUCAGCUCAGUUUCGUGUUGAUGGUCAAAGUGUUUACUUCCGAGAAGCAGUGCAUUUUAUUUAUUAUUCAACUGAGUUUCGUAUAGGUGCAUACAGUUGUUUGUUGCGAAAAACAAUAACAAAAUUUAUUUAUCGACUCAAACAUCGUGUUGUUGGUCAAAGUUGUCAAUUCAAAGAGAGAAGACUUUAUUUUAUUCAAUUGAUUUUUGUGUUGGCGCAUAAAGGUGUAGAAAUUCAUUUUUAUUGUUUCAACUUUCUUUCGUGUUGAAUACUGCUGUUUAUUCCGAGGCGUCAUAUUAUUUGUUUUAAUUAUCCAUCUCAAAUUCUGUACUAGUGGACUAAGUUGGUUCUCUUCAAACACAAUAUAUCUUAUUAUUCAUCUCACAGCUUUGUGUUGUUCGAGACAACGAUUCCAAUAUUCCUUAACCCAACACUUGUCUUUUGUCCUUGGACAUAGCUGCUUCUUUCCAAGACUAAACAUAGUCUACUUACUCGUCGUUCUUUAGUGUUAUUGGACAUAAGAUAUUUCUGGAGAGAAGCAUCAUUCUCAAUUUACAUGCAUUCACAAUACGCCUAUCUAUUCUUCAACACGUUUGUGUCUUCUCUGUGCGUAGUUUAAAAAUAACUGCUUAAUACGAUUGAGGUGUGAGGAAUUAUCUGGGUUCACAAACUUUGGUGCUAGUGGUUCGUGGAGUAAAUACACUUCCAGUUGAGGUAUUUAUCUCUCAAUGCGUGUUACCUAUACACUGUCCAAAUGCCGACCGGAGAUGUAAUGGAUGAUACAGAUUUGAUAGCUAAGAUCGGGAGGAAAAGGUAUCGUCGCCGUUUGGAGCGAGAACGGUAUUACACCCAGGGUAUCGAACUACCUAGGGAGAAGCUGAGGGAGAGCAUGACGACAACGCAGGCUCCCGCCCCUACCACCCAGGGCGGGAAAUUGGCCCAAGAGAUUCACGACGAGUUCCUGACGUGCAAGAUCUGCCUGGAGGGCUUCAAGUCCCCGAAAUGCCUCGACUGUCUGCACACGUUCUGCGAGCAGUGCAUCGACAACCACGUCAUGUCGGAGUGCACCUACAAGAAGUACAGCGACUACCGGGAAUUCACCUGCCCACUCUGCCGGAAGCGCACAGCCCUGCCGAUAGGCGGCGUUAAGAAACUACCAGACAACUUCCUGGUCUCCAGUCUCGGAGAGCUCGUAGCUCGACAGCGCCCUUCCAAGUUCCCCUUCUGCGAUAUAUGCAAGCUGGUUAACCGAAAACACAGAGAAGCGUCGUCGAAAUGUCUCGACUGCAACAAACUGCUGUGCAAGCAGUGUGUCGACAUGCACAGGGAAACGAAAGUGACGAAGAAUCACAGCCUGUUCGACUGCGAGAUCGAGAAGGACAUAGAGUGUAAAGAGCACAAGGAAGAAGUCGUCCGGUUCUACUGCGAGCCGUGCGAGUCGUGCAUCUGCGUCCUCUGUACCUUCAACGAGCACAAAGAUCACGAGAUCACCCAGUUCUCGGACGCCGUCGUCAAGUACAAGGAAUGCAUCCAGACCCUGCUGGACAGCUGCAAGGACAGGAUCAACAUCUACGACUCGCAGCUCGGGCUGCUGGGAAAAUGCGAAGCGACCAUCAAAGCCUCGGAGCAGAACAUCCGAGACGUCGCUAUCCAGUUCAUCAGCGAAAUACGCAACAGGGAGAAGCAGUUGAUAGACAAUCUGCACGAGAUCUACGGGAAGGAGUUGAUGGAGUACGUUUCGAGGAGGUCAGAGAUGCAGAUUAAUCUGGACAGUCUGAAAAGCACGUGCAGCCUCACGGAGCUGGUUCUCAAGGGAAAAGAUAUCGAACUGCUUCUUCUGAAGAAACAAGUUUCGGAAAAGUUAUCGCAUCUUUCGGACAUUGAAAUAACGAAUCUGCCGUCUACCGUUAACAAGACAAUAACCUUUGCUCCUGGAUCUCUCGAUCUAGGCUGUCUAGAGGAUGCAGAUAACAUCACGAAAGUGGAAGCAAAGAAGGAACCGGAAAUCAAAGUCUGCUCAAUGGAAACGCAGACGGAUGGUCUUUCCAAGAUCAACCGGUCUGUCCAGACGGAACGGAAGCAGACGCCGGAACGGAAGCAGACGCCGGAACGGAAGAAGACGCCGGAACCGGACGCCUCUCAGGUAACUGUGAAGAUCGUCAACGACGAGAAGGCCGUUGUGACUGAUUCCAACGACACCAGUGAUAAGUCCGUGAAUAUGAGGCCGCGCGGUAUGCAGCUGCAGAGUCAGUCGUCCAAGGAGGAGACGCCCGAGACGUCGGUCCCGGAACCCAUGUCGUCGCCAGUGCCGCGACGUCAUCGACGGCGACGCGAGAGGAUAAAGCCCGUUGAGGAUAGCGAUGAACUUGAAAGUGAGACCCACACUCCCAAAUCUGCCUGUUCAUAGCCUCGCUGGUGCUCGAGAAUCGAGCGAGCGCUCUCGCGGCGCCUUUCCAUUUCAGCAUAGUUAUGACUGGGUCCGAUAACUUUUAAAUGGAAAGGGCAGACAACUCGUGCAUCAAGACUUUCCUGGAAAUUGCUGUCUCUGAAUGGAAUUUGCUGAACUGCUAUCCUGUUUUAACACAAGAACAUUUUUCAAGCAUUCUUGAACUUUAUAUAUAUAUGUUAAUCAAUAUCAUUUUCGAGAACUCUGUAAUCUCACAGACACUUAACGUUUAGAAAUGGCUACGCAAUGCAAAUCGUACUAAAACAAUGUUGAUUUUACCGGGUUUUUUCUGUUGGGACAGUCUUUCCUUUCGGAGGGAAAACCGUUGUUUGUAAAAUAUUUUUCUAUAGUAUUUUGUUCUCUCAUAAUAAUAAUAAUAAUAAUAAUAAUAUUACAAUAUGUAUUAUUACCUCUCAUAUUUUAUCAUGUUUUUGCUUCUUUCACACAUGUCGCUCAGUGUACCUACAAAUGCAGACUUUUGCUAUUUCUUAGAGUGAAAUUUCAGAUUGCCCGCAUUUACAGACUUUGCUCUUUCUUAGAAUGAAUUCGUAAUUUUGGCAGUUUUGCAUACUUUUCUUUUUCUUAAAGAAUGAAAUACCAUUUUGACUACAGUUGCAGACUUUUCUAUUCAGUAAUAGUGAACUGUAAAUUUGUCGAGAUUAGCAGACUUUGACUUUUCUUAAAAGUCAACGUUCAUUUGCCCACAUUUUCUGGCAUUGUCUAUUGUCACUUUGUCCACAUUUGCUUUUCUUUUUCUUAAAUAUAGUUAUUAUUAUCAUCAUAUUUCAUAGUGUACAAACCCAUUUAUCAUUUAUGUAUUUCUUAGAAUUUCCUUCUUUAUCUUGAUUUUUCCUUUUUAUUCUCUGCUUGAUUAUGUUCACACUAUUUAGCAUGUUUAGUCAUCGGCACACAAAGCAUUAAUGAUAUAUGUAUGCAGACAUUAUUAAAUUAUCCAUGGGCACACGGUGCAAUCAUGUAUUACCGUUAAUAUCACUGAUAAAAUAGACUUAAUAUCUG